RNAcentral lists this ribosomal RNA (289 nucleotides) under uncultured bacterium. Its description in RNAcentral is "partial 16S ribosomal RNA". It matches the Rfam family "Bacterial small subunit ribosomal RNA", at positions 773 to 1060 of the family's 1533-position model. The record is from RNAcentral.
GUGGAUUAGAUACCCUGGUAGUCCACGCCCUAAACGAUGCGAACUGGAUGUUGGGUGCAACUAGGCACUCAGUAUCGAAGCUAACGCGUUAAGUUCGCCGCCUGGGGAGUACGGUCGCAAGACUGAAACUCAAAGGAAUUGACGGGGGCCCGCACAAGCGGUGGAGUAUGUGGUUUAAUUCGAUGCAACGCGCAGAACCUUACCUGGCCUUGACAUCCACGGAACUUUCCAGAGAUGGAUUGGUGCCUUCGGGAACCGUGAGACAGGUGCUGCACGGCCGUCGUCAACU